AUGGCGGAGGGAGGUGGAUCGCAAAGGAAGGGAAAGGAGAUCGAGGAUGUAGAAGCCCUGCUUAAUCGUCUUGAGUUACAUGAAGAUGAUGGGGAUGAUUUCAUCUGGGAGGAGGAGGUUGUUGAACAGGAGAUCCAGGCGAAGUGGCUUGCUAUCGUGCGAGUCCAUACCAACAAGGGGUUUUCCCCUUCGGCUCUAUACGGGGAUAUGAGAUCCGCUUGGAAUCCCGCGAAAGCUGUUCGCUGGCGCAUGAUCGAACAGAAUCUAUUCACCGUCCAAUUUGGAUGUUUGGGGGAUUGG
RNAcentral lists this ribosomal RNA (300 nucleotides) under Triticum aestivum (bread wheat). RNAcentral's name for it is "partial small subunit ribosomal RNA". Lineage: Eukaryota; Viridiplantae; Streptophyta; Magnoliopsida; Poales; Poaceae. The record is from RNAcentral.